This 472-nucleotide ribosomal RNA is filed under the name uncultured bacterium. RNAcentral describes it as "partial 16S ribosomal RNA". It matches the Rfam family "Bacterial small subunit ribosomal RNA", at positions 28 to 507 of the family's 1533-position model. The record is from RNAcentral.
GACGAACGCUGGCGGCGUGCUUAACACAUGCAAGUCGAACGCUGAAGCUUGGUGCUUGCCCUGGGUGGAUGAGUGGCGAACGGGUGAGUAAUACGUGAGUAACCUGCCCUUGACUCUGGGAUAAGCCUGGGAAACUGGGUCUAAUACUGGAUACGACAUGUCACCGCAUGGUGGUGUGUGGAAAGGGUUUUACUGGUUUUGGAUGGGCUCACGGCCUAUCAGCUUGUUGGUGGGGUAAUGGCUCACCAAGGCGACGACGGGUAGCCGGCCUGAGAGGGUGACCGGCCACACUGGGACUGAGACACGGCCCAGACUCCUACGGGAGGCAGCAGUGGGGAAUAUUGCACAAUGGGCGGAAGCCUGAUGCAGCGACGCCGCGUGAGGGAUGACGGCCUUCGUGUUGUAAACCUCUUUCAGCACGGAAGAAGCGAAAGUGACGGUACGUGCAGAAGAAGCGCCGGCUAACUACGUG